GCCUAGGACAAAGGAGAGUGGGUUCUCCCCACUUUGUAAGCACCCUUUCCUGGAGGCAUUUCUCCAGGCUAUAUUACAAUAAGAGUUUUUCCAUCAGGCCCCAUCAUGCGGAAUGAGUGGUUAAAGAAGGGGUGCCAACUAAUGGCCAAAUACCACUGGCUAGCUCUACUACCCAGACAGUUAUGAUGUAUGAAUCUUCAGCUGAUGGCCAAGAGAAGAGCAUUCUGACCUCACCACUUGCAUCAGGAAAGGGCAGUUGUAACCUGCUUACCUUAUGGUAGGGUUGGUGGGGAGGGGAGAAAGGUGAUUCUGGGAACAAAAGAGUCACCAAAGUCCAUUGGCAAGACAAAAGUCAGAUCAAAUGGUGAUAGCUUGGGAUGCAGUAAAUGUCCUUGGCAUCUUCCAUGUUUGACCGUGCUCUAAACUGCAGAGCCAUCUUCACAGCAAUUGGAACAAAAUGUUCUCAUCCAACCAUCCCACCAGGAGAAUUCUUCAUAUGCUUGAGAUCUAUAUUCUCAGUAACUCACCAAUGGGUUUAAGAGUCAUCUAAUUCUAGUGGCAAGACAAAAAGCAAGACAACUAGUGAUGACUUGAGAUGAAGAGGAUGAUCUUCUUCAACAUCUAACCGAGCUCUAAGCAUUCCAUAGCAUGUGCUUGUGUUACCUUCAUGGCCACUGGAACAAAUUAUUCUCAUCUACCCAUUCCAGUAAGGAAAGUCUUUACAUGUCUGAUGAAGAAAAGCCUCCUAAUUCCCUGAUAAGUUUGAAGUCUGUCAGUCAUCCUUAAUCUGGUUUAGCCCAUCUUCUGAUACAGUUUACCAGAGUGUGGCCACUGGACAUGCUACAACUUCUUGAAGUCACAACUGAGAGCCAGGUGGCAGAUGGACACAAAAGGAAGAAAAGCCACUCUGAAAAGAGUUUGUCAAGCCUUCACCCCAGAGGUACUAGUCUUCCCUAAACACCAUGUACACUUGGUAGACUGGAAUGGAGAAUGCUAACAAAGCUAUCAUUUUAGGAGGGCAAAUGCUAACAGGUGAGGGACAAAAAAUGAUCAGGAAAAUCUUCAUGCUGAUAAUGGUGCUUGGUAAUAAAUUCAAAGAAGAAAAGGCCUCUGUGAGGUGGAAUUUUAAGAGAGAGUAAAUCCAGGCAUGUGGGACAGACAGUACAAAGGUUUGGAGGUGAGAAGUGGAGUAUUGUAUAUGAUGAAAAGUAAGAAAGCCAAUUUUUUUUGGAUCAUCGUGGUCCAAAAUUAAGAAGAGAACUUCUUUCUCAAAAUCAAUUGUUCUACUCCCUAAAUGUCUUCUGGAUUACAGCAAUAACCUCUCCCUCUUGAAUUUGUCAAAAUGCAUAGAUGUAUUGUACAAACAACUUGAAUAUUUACCACAUUUUCACUUUUGUAUAUUGACCCAAGGGAAAGGGAGGGACCAGGCAUGGUGAGGCGAGUUAGCAUCCUGUUACACAUAAUCCUCCCAAUACUACAGGCUUCAUUUCUUGAAUUGCUAUCACACCCUAGGUCCCUUUGUUUCUCAAUAAUACAUGGAAUCUUUUCCCCCUCCACUUAUAAAGAUCCAUUUAGAAAGAUUUAAUGCAGUCAGGGUGCAUUUAAAAAAUUCCUUGGUGGGGCUUUCCAUUAAUAACUCUGCUUAUACAGUUCCAGUAAGGAGAGGGGGAAGGAAGCAAAAGGUAUGGAUGGAAAAAUAACACCAAAGAGACUAAGUGAACUGGAUCCUAAUGGCUCUCCUACAUGAGCUUAACUGAUGUGUUCCUUUCAAUAACAACCUUGAAAUGAAAGAAAAGCACCUUAUUUGGGGUGAAAUAUACAUUUGAAAUUAUCUUCACAGACUUAUUGCCUUACAUCCUUGGGUUUUCUGUAGGCUAAAGAGAAUAGAACCUUCUCUACUAUUUGUUUGAUUUGGUCUAGUUGAAGGUCGAAAGAUGUGGUGAUGGUAGUUUGGAAAAACAAUUAAAAAGCAGUGGAGGCGGUGGCUUUUGGAGAUCCUAAUUAGCUGACCCAUUUCUAGGUAACAUUGGGGAAUUUGUGGGCAGUGAUUAUUAUCUCUUUAAAGUUCUAAUUAAAAUGUCAAACUGUGUGGUAGAAUGUCUUUCAUGCUGCAUGUAAUUUGAUUAUGUUGGCUUAUUGGAAAAUUUGCCCUGGAAAGACAAAUAAACUAAAAAGAUCCCAGAAGUCCAGGCUUUGUUCCAGAAGUACAAUCCAUAGAACCAAUAGUCUUUCAUAACUUACCACUCACCCAGGGGUAGACAUCCAAGUGUCAGAGUCAGUUUCAUAACAUGAAGGAAAAGGCCUGUUGCACAGUAAUCCCUAGACAUGGAAUAAUUAGAUGAAUGAGGGAGUCUGAAGCUGGUUAGCUGCAUCUGCUUACUACACAUAUUAUUAUUAUUUUUUUACUGAGAAGGCUCUGGAAAUGGAAAUUACCCUCCCAUAUCUCAAAAUGCCAUCUUCAAACAUUAGGUGGCUCUCAAAAGAUGGACUUCCAUGACCAAUUUGCUGAAAAGAGAGCACAGUGCUUUGAAUGUAACAGGUACUCAGAGUGAAUGUUGAUUCCCUACAACCUGGAUACUCCUCCUGCUGCCUUUCAUGCAAAAAUAUGAAAAUACUAUUGAGCUAUCAAUAGUAAGCUUAUAUUUGGGUUGUGCUGCCAGUAAUGCUGAAGGAUUUUCAUGACUCUAGCCAUAUCCUCACCUUGAAACCAAAUGACAGAAUAUAGGAUCAUAAGAUCAAACAUCUACAGCUAAAAGGCCUUGCUUUCCAGAUAAGAAAAUUGACAGUAGCUCAAAGGAUAAGUGACUUGCCCAAAGUCACACAGUUACAAAGCUAGGAUUAGAAAACCAGGCACUCUAACACAAAAGCCAGUAUUUUUUGUCCUAUAACUUGCCCAUCCAUUGUUAAAAUGUGGCCAGACAAGCUUACAAAUAUAUGUGGUAUAUAAUAAAGUGGAGGAAUUCCAUGGAGACUGGAACAACCUCCAGGAAGUGAUGCAGAGUGAGAGGAGCAGAACCAGGAAAACAUUGUACACAGAGACUGACACACUGUGGUACAAUCGAACGUAAUGGACUUCUCCAUUAGUGUCAAUGCAAUGUCCCUGAACAAUCUGCAGGGAUCUAGGAGAAAAAACACUAUCCACAAGCAGAGGACAAACUGUGGAAGUAAAAACACCAAGGAAAACCAACUGCUUGACUACAGGGGUUGAGGGGAUAUGACUGAGGAGAGACUCUAAAUGAACACUCUGGUGCAAACACCAACAACAUGGAAAUGGGUUUGAAUCAAGAACUUGUGAUACCCAGUGGAAUCACACUUUGGCUAUGGGAUGGGGGGGGGAGGAGAAAAUGAUCUUUGUCUCCAAUGAAUAAUGCUCGGAAAUGACCAAAUAAAAUGUUUAAAAAAUAAAAUAAAAUAAAAUAUUAAAAAAAAUGCAUAUGGUAUU
Molecule: long non-coding RNA, 3442 nt
Organism: Monodelphis domestica (gray short-tailed opossum)
Lineage: Eukaryota; Metazoa; Chordata; Mammalia; Didelphimorphia; Didelphidae
Source: RefSeq, a predicted model, not a curated record